GAGUUUGAUCCUGGCUCAGAGCGAACGCUGGCGGCAGGCCUAAUACAUGCAAGUCGAACGGCUCUUCGGAGCAGUGGCGGACGGGUGAGUAACGCGUGGGAACGUGCCCUUUGGUACGGAACAACUGAGGGAAACUUCAGCUAAUACCGUAUACGCCCCUCGGGGGAAAGAUUUAUCGCUAUAGGAUGGGCCCGCGUCUGAUUAGGUAGUUGGUGAGGUAACGGCUCACCAAGCCGACGAUCAGUAGCUGGUCUGAGAGGAUGAUCAGCCACACUGGGACUGAGACACGGCCCAGACUCCUACGGGAGGCAGCAGUGGGGAAUAUUGGACAAUGGGCGAAAGCCUGAUCCAGCCAUGCCGCGUGAGUGAAGAAGGCCUUC
RNAcentral lists this ribosomal RNA (380 nucleotides) under uncultured Alphaproteobacteria bacterium. Its description in RNAcentral is "bacterial SSU rRNA". It matches the Rfam family "Bacterial small subunit ribosomal RNA", at positions 9 to 419 of the family's 1533-position model. The record is from RNAcentral. Lineage: Bacteria; Pseudomonadati; Pseudomonadota; Alphaproteobacteria.